CAUUAGCUCAGUGGUUAGAGCAGAGGACUCAUAAUCCUUUGGUCCUAAGUUCAAAUCUUAGA
This 62-nucleotide transfer RNA is filed under the name uncultured Treponema sp. It matches the Rfam family "tRNA", at positions 7 to 64 of the family's 71-position model. Rfam says of the family: Transfer RNA (tRNA) molecules are approximately 80 nucleotides in length. Their secondary structure includes four short double-helical elements and three loops (D, anti-codon, and T loops). Further hydrogen bonds mediate the characteristic L-shaped molecular structure. tRNAs have two regions of fundamental functional importance: the anti-codon, which is responsible for specific mRNA codon recognition, and the 3' end, to which the tRNAs corresponding amino acid is attached (by aminoacyl-tRNA synthetases). tRNAs cope with the degeneracy of the genetic code in two manners: having more than one tRNA (with a specific anti-codon) for a particular amino acid; and 'wobble' base-pairing, i.e. permitting non-standard base-pairing at the 3rd anti-codon position. Lineage: Bacteria; Pseudomonadati; Spirochaetota; Spirochaetia; Treponematales; Treponemataceae. The record is from RNAcentral.